UUCAAAAAUGAAAAAAAAUUGUUUUUUGUAAAUUUUGGUGUGUAGAGACAUAACGCUAAGAAACCUAAGAAGUGGCCAAGGAUCGCGGAAGUAUUUAUAAUGGAUGUGUUGAAUUAUACUUAAUGAUAAAUCAGUGAGUACGAAAAAGGCGAUCUUGCCAGUGACCAAUUAAAUAAUGCUACUUUUAUUACCAUUUUUACAUUUAUAUUGAAAAUUAAUCCUAAUAAGUAGGAAUUCAAAAUACAUUUUAUCCACUACUAUCUUCGAUUUGCUACAAUAGAAAGUUGAAUAUUUAAGAAUUUUUUACUACCUACAUAUAUUAAGGGGUUUGCACAUGCAAAAAAUCAAAAGAAAUAAAUUUAUAAAAACCACUUCGUAGUAAAACUAAUACAUUCGUCGGUCCUCGCAAAAUCUAAUAUAUUGUCAAAAACUGUUACACUUAAUGAGUAUUAACUGUUAAAAAAAUCACCCAAUAUAUUACACUAUACACACAUACCUCAGUAGCAGGUAUAUAAUUUCUAAAUAAUUGCAUCACAAGAAAUAAUUAUGAUUAUUGAAGUAUAAUUGGCCAAUGACGAAUUGAAAAUAAAAAACUCAAACCAUAAGGAUUUUUUUUCACUGUUAUCUUUGUGUAUAUUGUUAAUCAAAAUUGAAUGAUUGGUCAUCUUAUUUGAUCCACAAAUGACCUAAUCAUUCAUUAUUCAUAAUAUCACAGUCUACUUAUGUGUGUACGUGUUGCAGUUUAUAUAUUAUAUAUUGACUGUAUAUUAUAUCAUUUAUAGAUACAGAAAUCAUAUUAGUACCGUGUGUAGUAAAUAUACAUACGCUUAUAAUUUUUUUAAUUUUGUUUUUAAGGCUUCAACUAGUUCUACAUUUAACUGUUUAAUGUGAUUAGUCGACAAUAAUUGUGCACGAGUGAAUAAAAUUGAAAUAUUAAUUUACAAUUUACAAAUUUUUGUUUCGGAGAUGCUGCAGCCCAGUACCCUGCACGACCAUUUACGAGUAAUGAGCUACUAUAGCGUAUGUAUGAAUACUGAACAAUAUAAUACAUUGGAAGUAUAAUAAUACAUCACAACAGCCGCACCAGCUCACUAUAAAGGUUGGAUAUAGAAAUAUUAUUCACGUUUGAUGGCGAUCAGAACAAAAAUAAAUUUUAAGAGCAAAAUUGUAGUUUACAACACAAGAUUAAAUUUCGAGUAUCAACUGUAAAUUGCAAUACUUAAUAACUUAUUAGCAAUAAUCUUUGCAGCUAUUUUAUAGGUAUACCGAU
Molecule: long non-coding RNA, 1270 nt
Organism: Myzus persicae (green peach aphid)
Lineage: Eukaryota; Metazoa; Arthropoda; Insecta; Hemiptera; Aphididae
Exons: 3
Source: RefSeq, a predicted model, not a curated record